Molecule: ribosomal RNA, 2016 nt
Filed under: Triticum aestivum (bread wheat)
Lineage: Eukaryota; Viridiplantae; Streptophyta; Magnoliopsida; Poales; Poaceae
Description: partial small subunit ribosomal RNA
Source: RNAcentral
AUGCACGACCACCUGGCCGCCCUCCUCCGCGGCGGCGGCGGCGGCCGUCACCCGCGCGCAGUCCACGGCGCCGCCGCGAAGCUCGGCUGCCUCGCCUCCACCUACCUCUGCAACAACCUCCUACUCUCCUACAUCAGCGGCAGCCUCCACGCGGAAGCGCGCCGCCUGUUCGACGAAAUGCCCCAGCGCAACGUCGUCUCCUGGUCAGUCCUCGUCUCCGGCGCCUCUCGCCUCGGCGACCUCCGGGAGGCCUCUUUUCUCUUCUCCGACAUGCUUCGUAGCGGGGAGAGCGGAAGCUGCGACCGCCCCAACUCGUUCGUGCUGGGCGCGCUGGUCGCCGGGUGCGCCCGUGCCAAAGACACCGCCGCGGGCUCACAAGCGCAUGCCUCCGCUCUCAAGUUUGGUGUGGCCGAGGACGAGAGCGUUGCGGGGGCGCUGGUGGAUAUGUACUCCAAGUGCGGGCGCGUGGACUUGUCCUGGCGGGCGUUUGCGGUCUCGCCGCAGAGGUGCGUCGCCAGCUGGACGAGCAUAAUCAGCUGCCUUGUCAACCAGGGAUGUUCAGAGCACCGUGAUGCAGCAAUUUCCUUGCUAAAGAAGAUGCUGCUCUUGAAGGUUUGGCCAACAAACGCAACGUUUUCCUGCAUCCUGAAGGUAUUUGAUGCACCUGAGUUGCUCCCUGGUGGGAAGCAAAUCCACGGCUGCUUAUUGAAGAUGGGAACUGAGGUUGAUCCUGCUUUAGGAACUGCCCUUAUAGCGAUGUAUGGUAGAUGCGGUGGAGUGAAUGAGAUGUCUAGGUUGUCUUGCCGUAUAAGGCAUGAUGCCUUCUCCAGGACUUCACUUCUUGUAGCUUUUGCGCGGAAUGGAUGCAACAUGGACGCAGUUUGGAACUUUCGUGAGAUGGUCAUGGAAAAUAUGGCAAUUGAUCAGUCAGCUGUAACUAGCCUACUGCAGGUUUGUUCAUCAUUAGGACAGCUGAGAGUGGCCAAGGAGGUCCACUGCUAUGCUCUGAAGACUUUCUUUAAGCUGGAUACAUUACUGCUCAAUGCAACUAUCACUGUUUAUGGCAGAUGUGGGGAUGUCACAAGUGCAGAGAUUAUAUUUAAUCGUCUGGAAAACAAAGACAUUAUAUCAUGGACGGCAUUAUUAACUUGCUACGCGCAAAAUAAUCUUGCUCUGGAGACACUCUUGCUCUUCAGGGAAAUGCUUCGGAAAGGCUUAGGAUCUCCCGUCUUUUGCAUUACCAGUGUGCUAAGGGCCUGUUCUAGCACCACAAAUUAUGCUGUUGGGUGGCAAAUUCAUUCGAGGGUGGUGAAGUUAGGACUUGAUGAUGCCAAUUCGGUUGAGAAUGCCCUUUUGACCAUGUACGCCAAGUGCGGAAGUGUUCAUAUUGCACUGAAGAUUUUCAAUUCAAUGAGGAGUAGAGGCAUUAUCUCGUGGAAUGCACUAAUCACAAGUUUUUCACAGCAUGGAAAUGAGGUGGCAGCCAUUCAGCUAUUUGACCUGAUGCAAGAAGAAGCAGUUUGUCCAGAUGAUUACACUUUUGUCGGGUUGUUAUCAUCUUGCAGCCGAAUGGGCCUAGUUGCUGAGGGUUGUGAGUAUUUCAAACUGAUGAACACCAAGUACAGUGUGAAGCCUAAGAUGGAGCACUACACAUGCAUGGUUGAUCUUUUUGCCCGCGCUGGAAGAUUUUCGGAUGCACUCGAGUUUAUUGAUGCUAUGCCUUGUCAUCCGGACCAACUCGUGUGGGAAGCUUUGCUAGCUUCAUGUAGGACUCAUGGUAAUGUGGAGUUGGGAAGGCUGGCAGCAAAGAAGAUUCUUGAAAUAAGACCAGAUGAUCCUUCACCAUACAUUACAUUAUCCAGCAUUCAUGCUUCAAUUGACAUGUGGGAAGAGAAGGCUUGGAAUCGUACUGUGUUUGAUGUCCAGCAAGUAAGAAAAGAUGUGGGAAGUAGUUGGGUUGCUGGAGAAGAAUUUUCAGAUAAUACAUGUGAUGUAUUGCAAGUUGGAAUAACGUAA